UUAUGGAGAGUUUGAUCCUGGCUCAGGAUGAACGCUGGCGGCGUGCCUAAUACAUGCAAGUCGAGCGAACUGACGAGGAGCUUGCUCCUUUGACGUUAGCGGCGGACGGGUGAGUAACACGUGGGUAACCUACCUAUAAGACUGGAAUAACUCCGGGAAACCGGGGCUAAUGCCGGAUAACAUAUCGAACCGCAUGGUUCGAUAGUGAAAGACGGUCUUGC
RNAcentral lists this ribosomal RNA (221 nucleotides) under Staphylococcus chromogenes. RNAcentral describes it as "partial 16S ribosomal RNA". It matches the Rfam family "Bacterial small subunit ribosomal RNA", at positions 1 to 218 of the family's 1533-position model. Lineage: Bacteria; Bacillati; Bacillota; Bacilli; Caryophanales; Staphylococcaceae. The record is from RNAcentral.